UACGAAAGGUGCAAGCGUUAAUCGGAAUUACUGGGCGUAAAGCGCGCGUAGGCGGCUUGGUAAGUUGGAUGUGAAAGCCCCGGGCUCAACCUGGGAACUGCAUUUCGAACUGUCAAACUAGAGUAUCGGAGAGGUGGGCGGAACUACAAGUGUAGAGGUGAAAUUCGUAGAUAUUCGGAGGAACACCAGUGGCGAAGGCAGCUCACUAGGCCUGGAUUGACGCUCAGGGACGAAAGCGUGGGGAGCGAACAGG
This 253-nucleotide ribosomal RNA is filed under the name uncultured bacterium. Its description in RNAcentral is "partial 16S ribosomal RNA". It matches the Rfam family "Bacterial small subunit ribosomal RNA", at positions 524 to 776 of the family's 1533-position model. The record is from RNAcentral.